RNAcentral lists this ribosomal RNA (245 nucleotides) under uncultured bacterium. RNAcentral's name for it is "partial 16S ribosomal RNA". It matches the Rfam family "Bacterial small subunit ribosomal RNA", at positions 524 to 767 of the family's 1533-position model. The record is from RNAcentral.
UACGUAGGGGGCGAGCGUUGUCCGGAUUUAUUGGGCGUAAAAGGCUUGUAGGUGGCCACGCCAAGUCGGAUGUGAAAUCUCCCGGCUCAACUGGGAGGGGUCAUUCGAUACUGGCGGGCUCGAGGCCGGUAGGGGGAAGCGGAAUUCCCGGUGUAGUGGUGGAAUGCGUAGAUAUCGGGAGGAACACCAGUGGCGAAGGCGGCUUCCUGGACCGGUUCUGACACUGAGGAGCGAAAGCGUGGGGA